RNAcentral lists this ribosomal RNA (610 nucleotides) under Klebsiella pneumoniae. Its description in RNAcentral is "bacterial SSU rRNA". It matches the Rfam family "Bacterial small subunit ribosomal RNA", at positions 76 to 680 of the family's 1533-position model. Lineage: Bacteria; Pseudomonadati; Pseudomonadota; Gammaproteobacteria; Enterobacterales; Enterobacteriaceae. The record is from RNAcentral.
GAGCUUGCUCUCGGGUGACGAGCGGCGGACGGGUGAGUAAUGUCUGGGAAACUGCCUGAUGGAGGGGGAUAACUACUGGAAACGGUAGCUAAUACCGCAUAAUGUCGCAAGACCAAAGUGGGGGACCUUCGGGCCUCAUGCCAUCAGAUGUGCCCAGAUGGGAUUAGCUAGUAGGUGGGGUAACGGCUCACCUAGGCGACGAUCCCUAGCUGGUCUGAGAGGAUGACCAGCCACACUGGAACUGAGACACGGUCCAGACUCCUACGGGAGGCAGCAGUGGGGAAUAUUGCACAAUGGGCGCAAGCCUGAUGCAGCCAUGCCGCGUGUGUGAAGAAGGCCUUCGGGUUGUAAAGCACUUUCAGCGGGGAGGAAGGCGGUGAGGUUAAUAACCUCAUCGAUUGACGUUACCCGCAGAAGAAGCACCGGCUAACUCCGUGCCAGCAGCCGCGGUAAUACGGAGGGUGCAAGCGUUAAUCGGAAUUACUGGGCGUAAAGCGCACGCAGGCGGUCUGUCAAGUCGGAUGUGAAAUCCCCGGGCUCAACCUGGGAACUGCAUUCGAAACUGGCAGGCUAGAGUCUUGUAGAGGGGGGUAGAAUUCCAGGUGUAGCG